GGGGAUUUAGCUCAGCGGUAGAGCGCUUGCCUAGCAAGUGCAAGGUCCUGGGUUCGGUCCCCAGCUCCG
This 69-nucleotide transfer RNA is filed under the name Rattus norvegicus (Norway rat). It matches the Rfam family "tRNA". From Rfam's summary of the family: Transfer RNA (tRNA) molecules are approximately 80 nucleotides in length. Lineage: Eukaryota; Metazoa; Chordata; Mammalia; Rodentia; Muridae. The record is from Rfam by way of RNAcentral.